Molecule: ribosomal RNA, 478 nt
Filed under: uncultured bacterium
Lineage: Bacteria
Description: partial 16S ribosomal RNA
Rfam family: Bacterial small subunit ribosomal RNA
Source: RNAcentral
GACGAACGCUGGCGGCGUGCUUAACACAUGCAAGUCGAGCGGUAAGGCCCUUCGGGGUACACGAGUGGCGAACGGGUGAGUAACACGUGGGUGAUCUGCCCUGCACUUCGGGAUAAGCCUGGGAAACUGGGUCUAAUACCGGAUAGGACCCUGGGAUGCAUGUCCUGGGGGGGAAAGCUUUUGCGGUGUGGGAUGGGCCCGCGGCCGAUCAGCUUGUUGGUGGGGUGAUGGCCUACCAAGGCGACGACGGGUAGCCGGCCUGAGAGGGUGACCGGCCACACUGGGACUGGGAUACGGCCCAGACUCCUACGGGAGGCAGCAGUGGGGAAUAUUGCACAAUGGGCGCAAGCCUGAUUCAGCGACGCCGCGUGAGGGAUGACGGCCUUCGGGUUGUAAACCUCUUUCAGCACCGACGAAGCGCAAGUGACGGUAGGUGCAGAAGAAGGACCGGCCAACUACGUGCCAGCCGCCGCGGUAA